This 262-nucleotide long non-coding RNA is filed under the name Hordeum vulgare. RNAcentral describes it as "long non-coding RNA (HVUL_LNC003635)". The record is from RNAcentral. Lineage: Eukaryota; Viridiplantae; Streptophyta; Magnoliopsida; Poales; Poaceae.
UGAAUGUUAGAUCAAAUCAGCCAGCGGCUCAAGGGCACUGGUGGACAGCGCUCGUGUGCGCUCAACGCACGGGACGAGCUGCCAGCAAGGUCGUUCCUCUCGAUCCAGAACAGCGGCGGGAUUUAGGAACGACACUCCCGAAGAGUUAAUUGACCGUGUUCCUAACUAUGGCAAUCGUUAGGAACAUCAUGGACGAGGCCGAAGACCGCGACGAGUGGACAUGGUAAGAUAAUUAAUUAAAAACAAGCUAGAUCGAAUGGGC